AAGUCGUAACAAGGUAACCGUAGGUGAACCUGCGGUUGGAUCAUUAAAAAAUGUUUUGGUCUCGUGCCAAAUCAACACCUGUGUGCACCAUUGUCUGUAUUUGGUAGUCUAGGAGGGGGGCGACCCGCAAGGGCCCGCUCAUUUUCCUCCGUGACCCCAAUCUUCGCAAGUUGGUUGGGUUCGGGCUACCGCCUUUAUUGAAAAACCUUAUGUUUGUUUUUGUUUUUUGUCUGAACGAAGAGUUAAUCUUCAUUGAUUAAUGAUUUGAAUACAACUUUUGACAACGGAUCUCUUGGCUCUC
RNAcentral lists this unclassified non-coding RNA (301 nucleotides) under Rhizophlyctis rosea. RNAcentral describes it as "partial internal transcribed spacer region". The stretch from base 1 to 46 matches the Rfam family "Eukaryotic small subunit ribosomal RNA", at positions 1786 to 1831 of the family's 1831-position model. Lineage: Eukaryota; Fungi; Chytridiomycota; Chytridiomycetes; Rhizophlyctidales; Rhizophlyctidaceae. The record is from RNAcentral.